GAUGAACGCUGGCGGCGUGCCUAAUACAUGCAAGUCGAGCGAACAGACGAGGAGCUUGCUCCUCUGACGUUAGCGGCGGACGGGUGAGUAACACGUGGAUAACCUACCUAUAAGACUGGGAUAACUUCGGGAAACCGGAGCUAAUACCGGAUAAUAUAUUGAACCGCAUGGUUCAAUAGUGAAAGACGGUUUUGCUGUCACUUAUAGAUGGAUCCGCGCCGCAUUAGCUAGUUGGUAAGGUAACGGCUUACCAAGGCGACGAUGCGUAGCCGACCUGAGAGGGUGCUCGGCCACACUGAAACUGAGACACGGUCCAGACUCCUACGGGAGGCAGCGGUGGGAAAUCUUCCGCAAUGGGCGAAAGCCUGACGGAGCAACGCGGCGUGAGUGAUGAAGGUCUUCGGUUCGUAAAACUCUGUUAUUAGGGAAGAACAAAUGUGUAAGUAACUAUGCACGUCUGGACGGUACCUAAUCAGAAAGCACGGCUAACUACGUG
RNAcentral lists this ribosomal RNA (496 nucleotides) under uncultured bacterium. RNAcentral's name for it is "partial 16S ribosomal RNA". It matches the Rfam family "Bacterial small subunit ribosomal RNA", at positions 28 to 507 of the family's 1533-position model. The record is from RNAcentral.